GUCCGUUAAUUAUUCUUAUGUGCUUUAGUGUUUGCUCGAGGACUAGCAAAUGGUUAAGUUUGGGGGUAUUUGAUGAGUUUGUUUCACUCAUGGUUUUCGCACAUUUUUAGCUUGAUUAAAUACUAGAUUUUAUGAGUGUAGAACGUUUUUGAUGUGUUUGUUAGUGUUGUUUUGAAGAUAAGGAGAAGCAAUGAGAAAAGAAGUAUUAAAGUGGAUGAAGAGGCCAAAAACACGGAAUUGGGGCAGAAAGUUGGCGCU
RNAcentral lists this long non-coding RNA (258 nucleotides) under Olea europaea (common olive). Its description in RNAcentral is "long non-coding RNA (OEUR_LNC011844)". Lineage: Eukaryota; Viridiplantae; Streptophyta; Magnoliopsida; Lamiales; Oleaceae. The record is from RNAcentral.